This 497-nucleotide ribosomal RNA is filed under the name uncultured bacterium. RNAcentral describes it as "partial 16S ribosomal RNA". It matches the Rfam family "Bacterial small subunit ribosomal RNA", at positions 28 to 507 of the family's 1533-position model. The record is from RNAcentral.
GAUGAACGCUGGCGGCGUGCCUAAUACAUGCAAGUCGAGCGAACAGACGAGGAGCUUGCUCCUCUGACGUUAGCGGCGGACGGGUGAGUAACACGUGGAUAACCUACCUAUAAGACUGGGAUAACUUCGGGAAACCGGAGCUAAUACCGGAUAAUAUAUUGAACCGCAUGGUUCAAUAGUGAAAGACGGUUUUGCGGUCACUUAUAGAUGGAUCCGCGCCGCAUUAGCUAGUUGGUAAGGUAACGGCUUACCAAGGCGACGAUGCGUAGCCGACCUGAGAGGGUGACCGGCCACACUGGAACUGAGACACGGCCCAGACUCCUACGGGAGGCAGCAGUAGGGAAUCUUCGGCAAUGGGCGCAAGCCUGACGGAGCAACGCCGCGUGAGUGAUGAAGGUCUUCGGAUCGUAAACCUCUGUUAUUAGGGAAGAACAAAUGUGUAAGUAACUAUGCACGUCUUGACGGUACCUAAUCAGAAAGCCACGGCUAACUACGUG